CUACGGGUCGCUGCAGUGAGGAAUUUUGCGCAAUGGGCGAAAGCCUGACGCAGCAACGCCGCGUGAGUGAUGAAGGCCUUCGGGUCGUAAAGCUCUGUCAAGUGGGAAGAACCUAUGUAAUGUUAAUAUCAUUAUAUACUGACGGUACCACUGAAGGAAGCACCGGCUAACUCCGUGCCAGCAGCCGCGGUAAUACGGGGGGUGCAAGCGUUAUUCGGAAUCAUUGGGCGUAAAGGGCACGUAGGCGGCCUGGUAAGUCAGAUGUGAAAGCCCGGGGCUUAACCCCGGAAGUGCAUUUGAUACUGUCAGGCUUGAGUAUGGGAGAGGGAAGUGGAAUUCCUGGUGUAGAGGUGAAAUUCGUAGAUAUCAGGAGGAACACCUGUGGCGAAGGCGACUUCCUGGACCAAUACUGACGCUGAGGUGCGAAGGCGUGGGUAGCAAACAGGAUUAGAUACCCCAGUAGUC
This 465-nucleotide ribosomal RNA is filed under the name uncultured bacterium. RNAcentral describes it as "partial 16S ribosomal RNA". It matches the Rfam family "Bacterial small subunit ribosomal RNA", at positions 339 to 795 of the family's 1533-position model. The record is from RNAcentral.